Molecule: ribosomal RNA, 253 nt
Filed under: uncultured bacterium
Lineage: Bacteria
Description: partial 16S ribosomal RNA
Rfam family: Bacterial small subunit ribosomal RNA
Source: RNAcentral
UACGUAGGGUGCAAGCGUUGUCCGGAAUUAUUGGGCGUAAAGCGCGUGUAGGCGGUCCGGUAAGUCCGCUGUGAAAGUCGGGGGCUUAACCCUCGGAUGCCGGUGGAUACUGUCGGGCUUGAGUACGGAAGAGGCGAGUGGAAUUCCUGGUGUAGCGGUGAAAUGCGCAGAUAUCGUAAGGAAGACCAGUGGCGAAGGCGGGUCUCUGGACAGUUCCUGACGCUGAGGCACGAAGGCCAGGGGAGCAAACGGG